UAAGGAAUAUUGGUCAAUGGACGCAAGUCUGAACCAGCCAUGCCGCGUGGAGGAUGAAGGUCCUCUGGAUUGUAAACUUCUUUUAUCUGGGACGAAACACUUCUUUUCUAAGAGGCCUGACGGUACUAGAUGAAUAAGCACCGGCUAACUCCGUGCCAGCAGCCGCGGUAAUACGGAGGGUGCAAGCGUUAUCCGGAUUCACUGGGUUUAAAGGGUGCGUAGGUGGGUAUGUAAGUCAGUGGUGAAAUCCCCGAGCUUAACUUGGGAACUGCCAUUGAUACUAUAUAUAUUGAAUACCGUAGAGGUAAGCGGAAUAUGUCAUGUAGCGGUGAAAUGCUUAGAUAUGACAUGGAACACCAAUUGCGAAGGCAGCUUACUAUGCGGUGAUUGACACUGAGGCACGAAAGCGUGGGUAGCAAACA
This 422-nucleotide ribosomal RNA is filed under the name uncultured bacterium. RNAcentral's name for it is "bacterial SSU rRNA". It matches the Rfam family "Bacterial small subunit ribosomal RNA", at positions 355 to 774 of the family's 1533-position model. The record is from RNAcentral.